CCGACUCAGUCGAGAGUUACACUUGUUUCCACAUAGUCGGCGAUUUAGUGGAGCUGAUAGACGUAUUGGAUCCGGAUGUAGGCAAGGUGUUUGUUGUUGGGCAUGACUGGGGAGCUUACAUGGCUUGGUUAUUGUGUCUGUUUAGGCCUGAUAAAGUGAAAGCAUUGGUGAAUUUGAGUGUGCCGUUUUUAAGGACUCAUCGGGAAAUCAAGCCUGUUGAUUUCUGGAGAUCUUAUUAUGGUGCUGAUCAUUACAUAUAUAGAUUUCAGGUAAAUUAUUAUCAAACAUAUUAGAUGCAUAAAUCUUAUUUUAUGAUUUUGAAUUUUUUUCGCUAUGGAAUCUAUGUUUAUCUUAAUUAAUAUUGAUUUCUGAUUCUGUGACCAUAAUUUAAAUUCUGAAGCUAUUAUACACGGGAGGGAUCUCCUUUUACACCAUUCCAUAACUUUUUAAUGAUCCAUAUUUUAUCGAUUCAGUAGUAAAAUUUAUUAAAAUAUUUAUAAUUAUUAUGUAAAAUUUUAAAUUAAUUUAAUAUUUUUAUCAUAUUAAUAUAAAAUAUUGUUUAUUGUCUAUAUAUAUUUAAUAAUUAAAAAUUUUAUAUACAUAAAAUAUUAAUCAUAUAAAAAAUUACUAAAACGUGCAAGAGCAUCUCUCCAUGUAUAUAUAUAUAUGAUCGAACAUACAAAUUAGAAAGUGUAUUGUCUUUUUUUGGCAAUUUCAACUUUUCUAACUAUGAUGUUGACAUUUGACAUUGUAAUUUAAAUCCGGAAUUUCAAUUCGAUUUUGUAUUAGUUUUGGAAAGGUUUUAUUUAUAUAUGUAUAUAUAUACUCUAAAUUUCAGCUAAAUUAUCAAACAUGAUAUAGUAUUUAUUUUGUCAUUUUAACUAUUUUAGUUAUAGAAUUAAUGUUGAUCUUAAUUAAUUGUGAUGUAUGCAUCGGCAAUCCCAAUUUAAAUCCCGAGUUUGGUAAGCUUUUAUGUUAGCUUUAAGUAGAAUUAUCAAGCAUGCGAGUUACAUAUGAAGUCUUUAUUUUAUGAUAUCAAUUUUUUUUUUAAUUUUAAACAUUUGUUAUCGUAAUUUAAAUCUCGGAUUUCAAUUUGAUUUUGCAUUAGAUUUGGAAAGGUUUUAUUUUAUAAAUAUAUAUAUACUCUACACUUCAGCUAAAUAAUCAAACAUACAAAUUAGAUACAGAGCCUUAAUUUUUUUCAUCUUAACUAUUUGAGCUAUAGAAUUAAUGUUUAUCUUAACUAAUUGUGAUGUAUGCAUCCGCAAUCUUAAUUUAAAUCUCAAGUUUGGUAAGCUUUGAUGUCAGCUUUAGGUGGAACUAUCAAGCAUACAAGUUACAUACAGAGUUUUUAUUUUGUGGUUUCGAAUUUAAAUCCCGGGUUUCAUUGAUAUAUAUAUGUAUUUAUUUGUAUAUAUUACAGAAACCUGGAGAAAUAGAAGCUGAAUUUGCAGAGAUUGGAGUGGAGAGAGUUGAGAAGGAACUUUUGACUGAUUUUCCAGUUUUCUUGCCAAAAGGGAAACUCUUCAAACGUCCAUUAGAUGAACCAAUUACAUUGCCUUCUUGGUUGUCCGAGGAAGAAGCUAAUUACUAUGUCACUGUAUUCCAGAAAACUGGCUACACUGGUGCACUCAACUUCUACAGAAACUUUAACAGGUAUAUGUAUAUGUGUGAUAUUAAUUAUUUGGUACAAUUCAUAGAUAGGAUUGAGAAUUUUUGAAUGCUAGUGUACCAAAUAAUAUAUUUAUAUAUCAAAUCAGUCAUAAAAAAUGAUUUUAGGUUGGAAUUUAUGCAUUUAUAACUCUUUUUUUUCUAGUAAAAGUACUAUAGGGGCUCUUGUUUAUGGGUGUUACUGUUUUGAUGGCAGAAACUGGGAACUAUUGAAACCAUGGGUGGGUAGUAAGAUCAAAACACCAACAAAGUUCAUUGUGGGUGAUAAGGAUUUGGUUUACCAUAUGCCUGGUAUCAAGGAUUACAUUCACAAUGGUGGGUUCCAAGAAGAUGUGCCAUCUCUGCAGCAAGUGGUGGUGAUGGAAGGUGUUGGCCAUUUCAUCAACAUGGUGACACCAGACGAGAUCAACAAAUACAUUUCUGACUUCUUUACCCAUUUUGUUUGAAAUAAAUAAAUAAAUAAAUCCAUGUAUUUCAAGUCUUUUGUGUAAUAAUAAUAAUAAUAACACUUUGGCUAAGAUCCAAGUGCUGAAGGGGGAUUUAUGGUUAAGACUGAAUUAUUAAUGUUAGAAUAUGUUUGAAGUAAUUUUGAAUUUUAUUUUUUUUUAUAUUUAGGUUGAAUUAUUAACAUAAUAAUUUUUUUUUAAAUUUAUGGGUGCAAUAUUUUGAAAUUAAAAAAAAUUACUAAAAAAACAUUAUAAUAAAUUUGGACGAUGUUAAUAAUUAAAUUUAUAUUUUUAAAUCUUAAAAAUAAAAUGAUUAAAUUUUAAAUUUAGAAAGAAAACAUAGACUUGUAACGUGGAGGAGUAAAUGCUUUUUUCGAUGAGUUUCGACCAUUUUUUUUGUCUUGUAUUUGAUGAAAGUAAGAGGUUUUAUAUUCUUUUUGUUUUAUCAAUUUGGUUAAUAAAUAAUUUUUUUUUUGUUUUAUGAUUUGACUGUGAUUUUAGCUAUUUUAAGAAUUAAAGACUUGUCAUAUGGAAAUCAAGUGGCUUAUCUCUAGAUAACAGAAGAAUUUAAGGGGGAGAGAAAUACCCAUCUUCUUGAAGGAGUGUCGGCGUUCGUAGUGAAGGUGGUGGAGAAGGAUCGUUGGGGGGUAGCACUAUCGAAUUAACCCUAGGUGUUUACAAAUCAAAAGCCGGUUGUAGCUUCGCGUCUGUCUGAGCUCAGAUCGUCGAGGAUAGUGAAGAGAAUAUGAAGGGUUAAAAACAGAUGUAGAAAUUGAGGUUUAAAGGCCCUUAGAGACUGCUUCAGUUCCGAGGAGAAAAUAGGAUUUGGUUUCAAUGUUGGGAGUGUCCAUUUAUUAUAUUCUGGUUGUUACAAGCCCAAUUUGCCCGGCCCAAAACCCAUUUCUAUAACCCUUAAACCCAAUUACAGAUAAAUUCAAACCUAAAGCCCAAUCUAAAACUAAACCUAGCCCACCAAGCCCACAAAUUUUCAAUUAAAAAAAAAAUCAAAAGGGGCACCUAGGUCUGCCCUUGUCUCAUCCACCACCGACAUUUGCCACCACCUACUCAGCACCGCCCCAACUGCUCCUGCAAGAUGGACACGCAAACAACAGUGAAAAUGAUAAAAAAAUGUAUGUAAUAGCUUUAUAAAAGCCUAAGAGAUGGGAUUGUUUUUUUUUGGGGGGGAUUUUGUCUUCGUUGAAAUACAAAAAGAAACAUCAUCAAAAGGCCUCAAAAUAUUCACUCAAAUCACAGUAAGAAAUAAAAGACAGAAUCAAGGUCUAUAUUUUUUCCUUUUCAUUUUUCUUUUCUUUUUUUUCUUUUCCGAAUUUGUUUAUAUAUUCCAACUCUAUCCUGCUAAAAACAAUAUUUAUAUAUUAGAUAUAAAAAAAUAAUAAAAUAAUAAAAAAUUACCUUGUGGUGAUUUCCGGCCACCGUGUACGGCGGCCGGCACGGCGGAGCCACGGUGGAGGUGACCGGACCCCUUGGCCAGUUCUGGGUUUUCCCCAGAAAGAAAAAAAACUCCCCUUUCCUUUUUUUUUUUCUAAAACUCGGAGGAAAUGAAUUUUUUCAAAAAACAUUUACUUUUAUAGCAC
Molecule: long non-coding RNA, 3712 nt
Filed under: Gossypium barbadense (sea-island cotton)
Lineage: Eukaryota; Viridiplantae; Streptophyta; Magnoliopsida; Malvales; Malvaceae
Description: long non-coding RNA (GBAR_LNC013069)
Source: RNAcentral